AAUUUUCCUAUCAGCCAACUGUGCCUUUAAGGGAGACAGGAUUGAUGUGAGAUCUUACAAGCUUUCAUUAUCAUCCAGUGCUUGUGUCACAUAGCUGCCCUUCCCUACUUCUCAGCCCUCCAAAAGGCACAAUGUCUUCCAUCAGGCAAAAGUGACACCACAACAUUCAUUAUAGGAAGUAAGAGACAUUCAUCACUGGAAUAUUUUAGCAAAUGAAUCACAACAGACUGAUAGCAUAACUCAUGUUCUAAGGCCAAGAACAAGAAUUGCAUAGUUUAUUUUAAGACAGCAGAAGAGUAAAAAACAGAUUGAAAAACAUAUGAUACCCUCUCCAGCUCAGAGCUCUACAAACAGCAGUGGCGUUUGCAAAGUUCUAUGUAUCUUCUCAAAUGUGGUUUCAGUUUUAAUGUGUGUUGACAUCUUUGUGUGCAGAACUAACUGGAGGAACAACAGUUUGUGCUUUUUUUCCCUUCUUGCUACAAGGGUGAGAACAGGGAAAGAACCAAACGAUCUGUGUUUACUUUGAGCAGCCAUACACCAUGCAUGGACACUAAGCUUCUUACUGCUUCUGAUUAGUGACCUCAAUUGAGACUCAUUGCUCAUUGCAAAGACUGCUAAUGGAUUGUUUGAGCCUGAAUGUGUUAGGAUGGAAUAUUUCUUCUUCUCAGAUUCAAGGCCAGUUUUUUUCCACCCCAAGUCCAUUCUACCCAGAGUUCUAGAUGAUGAUGGUCAGGUUAUUCAAGAUAAUGAUUAUGUUUUCUAGAUGAUUUAAAAUGAAGUUCAACUUUUAUUAUCUUCCCUAUAAUGAUAUUUGUAGUCUUUAUGUUCAAUAACAAGCUGUCAGGCUGCCUCAGUUUAAGCCAAGGCAUUUUCUUAUCAAAACCCAUCACAGAAAAAGAUACAAUCAUGAAACCACAGAUUCUUGUAGCUCUUCACAGUAAACUUUAACUAUGAAUAACCUCUUGGAUUAUUAGCCGAUUGUGAUUACAUUUAUAUUAUUUGCUCACAUGCUUUGUCACUUUAGAGCCCUGAAAACCCUGUUCAUUGUUGCUAGGAGAUGGGUGGCUAUGGCAACAGUGUGGGUCAGAGCCAGAUGGAAUGCCUAAAGCAUAAUCAGGUUUAGGCUUUUUUUUGAUCUCCAAAUGACUCCAUGGCAGUCCUGAGCACGGAAGCCCCAAAUCACUGCCUCUUCAGCUUGUUUCAAAAGACUGAGUCUCACACUGUCACCCGGGCUGGAGUGCAGUAGU
This 1247-nucleotide long non-coding RNA is filed under the name Homo sapiens (human). Its description in RNAcentral is "HSALNT0328609". Lineage: Eukaryota; Metazoa; Chordata; Mammalia; Primates; Hominidae. The record is from RNAcentral.